RNAcentral lists this ribosomal RNA (468 nucleotides) under uncultured bacterium. RNAcentral describes it as "partial 16S ribosomal RNA". It matches the Rfam family "Bacterial small subunit ribosomal RNA", at positions 28 to 507 of the family's 1533-position model. The record is from RNAcentral.
GACGAACGCUGGCGGCGUGCUUAACACAUGCAAGUCGAACGGAAAGGCCCUGCUUUUGUUGCUUGCUCGAGUGGCGAACGGGUGAGUAACACGUGAGUAUCCUGCCCUUGACUUUGGGAUAACUUCAGGAAACUGGGGCUAAUACCGGAUAGGAGCUCCUGCUGCAUGGUGGUGGUUGGAAAGUUUCGGCUGUUGGGGAUGGACUCGCGGCUUAUCAGCUUGUUGGUGAGGUAGUUGCUUACCAAGGCUUUGACGGGUAGCCGGCCUGAGAGGGUGACCGGCCACAUUGGGACUGCGAUACGGCCCAGACUCCUACGGGAGGCAGCAGUGGGAAAUCUUGCACAAUGGGCGGAAGCCAGAUGCAGCAACGCCGCGUGCGGGAUGACGGCCUUCGGGUUGUAAACCGCUUUCGCCUGUGACGAAGCGUGAGUGACGGUAAUGGGUAAAGAAGCACCGGCUAACUACGUG